Molecule: long non-coding RNA, 494 nt
Filed under: Marmota monax (woodchuck)
Lineage: Eukaryota; Metazoa; Chordata; Mammalia; Rodentia; Sciuridae
Source: RNAcentral
GCCUGAUAUUUGCAUUUCUAACAUCUUCUGGGGUGAAGCUGCUGGUCUAGAAACCACUUUGACAUAAACUGAAAACUUUCCAAGCUCCCUUCUUUUUCUGUGCACCUAAAAUCUAAACACUCUUGUUUCUCCUGUGAAUAUAGCACUUAGGAUCUUAUGCAAUAGUGGCUGGGGUCGGGGUCUCCAGGAUCCUUCCUUACACUUAUCUAGCUCCUGUCCGACAAGGGCACUUUGUGCACCAUUCAUUAACAACUCACAGGGUUAGGUCAAGGCCAUCCUUGAGGAUGAAGUAAUCACCCACAUUCACAGAGGCUGUCAGGGUAGAGCUUGGACUAGAUCCCACCAUGCUUUGUGGUGGACUUUGCUGAGCUCUGUGCAACCUGGUCCCAGCCCUGACGUUAUUUAGAGCAGAGAUUUUUUUCCCCCUUGUCUAUCCAGAAAUAUACCUGGAAGGGAGACAUUCCCUGCUCAGACUAGACCUUGGGUGAGUGGGA